GGCGGACGGGUGAGUAACACGUAGGCAACCUACCCAUCAGACUGGGAUAACCGCGGGAAACCGUGGCUAAUACCGGAUGAUCCUGAUCCCCGCAGGGGGAUGAGUUGAAAGGCGGUCUUUGACUGCCACUGAUGGAUGGGCCUGCGGCGCAUUAGCUAGUUGGUGGGGUAAGGGCCCACCAAGGCGACGAUGCGUAGCCGACCUGAGAGGGUGAUCGGCCACACUGGGACUGAGACACGGCCCAGACUCCUACGGGAGGCAGCAGUAGGGAAUCUUCCGCAAUGGACGCAAGUCUGACGGAGCAACGCCGCGUGAGUGAAGAAGGGUUUCGGCUCGUAAAACUCUGUUGUCAGGGAAGAACGCCGGUGGGAGUAACUGUCCAUCGGGUGACGGUACCUGACCAGAAAGCCACGGCUAACUACGUGCCAGCAGCCGCGGUAAUACGUAGGUGGCAAGCGUUAUCCGGAAUUAUUGGGCGUAAAGCGCGCGUAGGCGGUUCGUUAAGUCUGAUGUGAAAGCCCCCGGCUCAACCGGGGAGGGUCAUUGGAAACUGGCGAACUUGAGUGCAGAAGAGGAGAGUGGAAUUCCAUGUGUAGCGGUGAAAUGCGCAGAGAUAUGGAGGAACACCAGUGGCGAAGGCGGCUCUCUGGUCUGCAACUGACGCUGAUGUGCGAAAGCGUGGGGAUCAAACAGGAUUAGAUACCCUGGUAGUCCACGCCGUAAACGAUGAGUGCUAAGUGUUAGGGGGUUUCCGCCCCUUAGUGCUGCAGCAAACGCAUUAAGCA
Molecule: ribosomal RNA, 785 nt
Filed under: Salinicoccus sp.
Lineage: Bacteria; Bacillati; Bacillota; Bacilli; Caryophanales; Staphylococcaceae
Description: bacterial SSU rRNA
Rfam family: Bacterial small subunit ribosomal RNA
Source: RNAcentral